UAGGGAAUAUUGGACAAUGGGGGCAACCCUGAUCCAGCCAUGCCGCGUGAGUGAAGAAGGCCCUCGGGUUGUAAAGCUCUUUUGUCCGGAAAGAAAAGCUUCGGGUUAAUACCCCGGGGUUCUGACGGUACCGGAAGCAUAAGCACCGGCUAACUUCGUGCCAGCAGCCGCGGUAAUACGAAGGGUGCAAGCGUUACUCGGAAUUACUGGGCGUAAAGCGUGCGUAGGUGGUUGUUUAAGUCUGAUGUGAAAGCCCUGGGCUCAACCUGGGAAUGGCAUUGGAAACUGGGCAGCUAGAGUGCGGUAGAGGGUAGUGGAAUGCCCGGUGUAGCAGUGAAAUGCGUAGAGAUCGGGAGGAACAGCUGUGGCGAAGGCGACUGCCUGGACCAGCACUGACACUGA
This 402-nucleotide ribosomal RNA is filed under the name uncultured bacterium. RNAcentral describes it as "bacterial SSU rRNA". It matches the Rfam family "Bacterial small subunit ribosomal RNA", at positions 355 to 749 of the family's 1533-position model. The record is from RNAcentral.